This 497-nucleotide ribosomal RNA is filed under the name uncultured bacterium. RNAcentral describes it as "partial 16S ribosomal RNA". It matches the Rfam family "Bacterial small subunit ribosomal RNA", at positions 28 to 507 of the family's 1533-position model. The record is from RNAcentral.
GAUGAACGCUGGCGGCGUGCCUAAUACAUGUAAGUCGAGCGAACAGACGAGGAGCUUGCUCCUCUGACGUUAGCGGCGGACGGGUGAGUAACACGUGGAUCACCUCCCUAUAAGACUGGGAUAACUUCGGGACACCGGCGCUAAUCCCGGAUAAUAUAUUGAACCGCAUGGUUCAAUAGUGAAAGACGGUUUUGCUGUCACUUCUAGAUGGAUCCCGGCCGCAUUAGCUAGUUGGUACGGUAACGGCUUACCACGGCAACGAUGCGUAGCCGACCUGAGAGGGGGAUAGGCCACACUGGAACGGGGACACGGACCAGAGGCCUAAGGGAGGCAGCAGAAGGGAACCGGACGCAAUGGGCGAAAGCCUGACGGAGCAACGCCGCGUGAGUUAUGAAGGUCUUCGGUUCGUAAAACUCGGUUAUGAGGGAAGAACAGAUGUGGAAGGAACUAUGCAGUGCGUGACGGUACCGAAUCAGAAAGCCACGGCUAACUACGUG